RNAcentral lists this non-coding RNA (27 nucleotides) under Mus musculus (house mouse). The record is from RNAcentral. Lineage: Eukaryota; Metazoa; Chordata; Mammalia; Rodentia; Muridae.
UGGAUGCUUCUGAGCCUCUGCGUGCCC